Long non-coding RNA from Carassius gibelio (silver crucian carp), 3123 nucleotides. RefSeq lists it as uncharacterized. The transcript has 5 exons. The record is from RefSeq and is a predicted model, not a curated record. Lineage: Eukaryota; Metazoa; Chordata; Actinopteri; Cypriniformes; Cyprinidae.
CCUUUUAUAUUUUUCAUAAUUAUUCAAAUAGACUGUAAAUCAUGUGUAAAAUAUUGCUACUUUUCAUUACCGAAUGGGCUUAAAUACAAAUUUAAAGCUCAAUAAAAAUUGAACAGGAUGACUCACUUUCAUAAAACAUACUGUAAAGUGUUCAUCUAGGUGUCAGCUAUAAUGCACACCUUUUAUAUUUUUCAUAAUUAUUCAAAUAGACUGUAAAUCAUUUGUAAAAUAUUGUUAUUUUUCAUUACCGAAUGGGCUCAAAUGUAAAAUAUGCCAUAAUUUGAAGCUCAAUAGAAUUUGAACAGAAUGACUCACAUUCAUAAAACAUACUGUAAAGUGUUUAUCUAGGUGUCAGCUAUAAUGCACACCUUUUAUAUUUUUCAUAAUUAUUCAAAUAGACUGUAAAUCAUUUGUAAAAUAUUGUUAUUUUUCAUUACCGAAUGGGCUCAAAUGUAAAAUAUGCCAUAACUUGAAGCUCAAUAGAAUUUGAACCGAAUGACUCACAUUCAUAAAACAUACUGUAAGGUGUUCAUUUAGGUGUCAACUAUAAGCCACACCAUUCAGAUUUUUCAUAAUUAUUCAAAUAAACUGUUAAUCAUAUGUAAACAAUUGCUAUUUUUCAUUACCGAAUGGGCUCAAAUGUAAAAUAUGCCAUAAUUUGAAGCUCAAUAGAAUUUGAACAGAAUGACUCACAUUCAUAAAACAUACUGUAAAGUGUUUAUCUAGGUGUCAGCUAUAAUGCACACCUUUUAUAUUUUUCAUAAUUAUUCAAAUAGACUGUAAAUCAUUUGUAAAAUAUUGUUAUUUUUCAUUACCGAAUGGGCUCAAAUGUAAAAUAUGCCAUAACUUGAAGCUCAAUAGAAUUUGAACAGAAUGACUCACAUUCAUAAAACAUACUGUAAGGUGUUCAUUUAGGUGUCAACUAUAAGCCACACCAUUCAGAUUUUUCAUAAUUAUUCAAAUAAACUGUUAAUCAUAUGUAAACAAUUGCUAUUUUUCAUUACCGAAUGGGCUCAAAUGUAAAAUAUGCCAUAAUUUGAAGCUCAAUAGAAUUUGAACAGAAUGACUCACAUUCAUAAAACAUACUGUAAAGUGUUUAUCUAGGUGUCAGCUAUAAUGCACACCUUUUAUAUUUUUCAUAAUUAUUCAAAUAGACUGUAAAUCAUUUGUAAAAUAUUGUUAUUUUUCAUUACCGAAUGGGCUCAAAUGUAAAAUAUGCCAUAACUUGAAGCUCAAUAGAAUUUGAACAGAAUGACUCACAUUCAUAAAACAUACUGUAAGGUGUUCAUUUAGGUGUCAACUAUAAGCCACACCAUUCAGAUUUUUCAUAAUUAUUCAAAUAAACUGUUAAUCAUAUGUAAACAAUUGCUAUUUUUCAUUACCGAAUGGGCUCAAAUGUAAAAUAUGCCAUAAUUUGAAGCUCAAUAGAAUUUGAACAGAAUGACUCACAUUCAUAAAACAUACUGUAAAGUGUUUAUCUAGGUGUCAGCUAUAAUGCACACCUUUUAUAUUUUUCAUAAUUAUUCAACUAGACUGUAAAUUGUGUGUAAAAUAUUGCUAUUUUUCACUACUGAAUGGACUUAAAGACAAAUUUAAAGCUCAAUAGAAUUUGAAAAGGAUGAUUCACUUUCAUAAAACAUACUGUAAAGUGUUCAUCUAGGUGUCUACUAUAAUGCACAACCAAUUCAAAUUUUUCACAAGUAUUCAAUUAGUUUUAAAUCAUGUGUAAAAUAUUGCUACUUUUCAUUACCAAAUAGGCUCAAACACAAAUUGAAAACUCAAUAGAAUUUCAGCUGAAAAUGUACAAUUAAUAUAUUUCAGAUGUAUUCUUUAAACAACAAUGAAAGAAACAUCAAUGAUGACAACAAUGAUACUUCCAUCAUUUUUAUUGUUCAAUUAUUAUCUUUUCAAUAUUUUCAUAUUUCCCAGGAACAUCCCCAGUCCCUAGACUCCCACAAAUACCUUAACUUUUACAUAAAACAACUGUAAUACAUUAUUUACACAGGAUUUUUUAAUUAUUUGCAUAGGCAGCACUUCCAAUCACUCUUUCGAGCCCUGUUAAACUGGCCCUCUGUCAUUUGAAUGCAUGUCACAUGGAACCACCUCUUGCAUUGAUGACAUUCGAUCUGAAAAAAAAAAGAAAAUAAUAAAAUAUAUAAUCUUUUCAAAUUGAUUAGUAAUAUUAUAUAUAUAUACACACACACACACACACACACACACACACAUACUGUACAUAUACAGUAUAAGCAUUUAUAAAUUCACAGUAAAGCACAGCUUAUGUAUAAGCUUCAAAUUAAUUGCCACAUCAAAUAAUACUUAAGGCAAUAAGCCACAAGAAGCUUUGGUUUACUGUAAAUUUAUAACAGCUAAGGGCUGUGGUUAGGCACGAUGUGAAGAGGAGUGACACACAGAUGUAAACAUAGGUGUAUGUUUGUAGAAUAAUUUACAACAGCUUCAAAAGCGGCUCAAACUAUCAGAAUCAAGGACCGAAACUACCCAUUUUAUAAAUUAAUAUAUUAAAUUAAUUAAAAGCAAACAGUUAUCUAAACGAUGCAAACAACAAACAAAACAAUAGAACAUGGCAUCAAAUGAAAAUUAAAAAUGGCACAGAAAAAAACAUUCCCUAAAGGUCAAAACAAUCCCAGUCCUAAUUAUUAAUUUUAUUUUUACUAUUACUUUUUUAUUAUUAUUUAAAAAAAAUGGUACAAUUGAGCAUCUUAACAAUGUAAUAUGAUAUUUAUUUUAAUUUUCCAUUGUGAAAAAUUCUGAGAAAACAGUAUGUUUUAUGAAAGUGAGUCAUCCUGUUCACUUUUUAUUGAGCUUUAAAUUUGUAUUUAAGCCCAUUCGGUAAUGAAAAGAAGCAAUAUUUUACAUAUGAUUUACAGUCUAUUUGAAUAAUUAUGAAAAAUAUAAAAGGUGUGCAUUAUAGCUGACACCUAGAUGAACACUUUACAGUAUGUUUUAUGAAAGUGAGUCAUUCUGUUCAAAUUCUAUUGAGCUUCAAAUUAUGGCAUAUUUUACAUUUGAGCCCAUUCGGUAAUGAAAAAUAACAAUAUUUUACAAAUGAUUUACAGUCUAUUUGAAUAAUUAUGAAAAAUAUAAAAGGUGUGCAUUAUAGCUGAC